RNAcentral lists this ribosomal RNA (273 nucleotides) under uncultured bacterium. RNAcentral describes it as "partial 16S ribosomal RNA". It matches the Rfam family "Bacterial small subunit ribosomal RNA", at positions 523 to 796 of the family's 1533-position model. The record is from RNAcentral.
AUACGUAUGUCGCAAGCGUUAUCCGGAAUUAUUGGGCGUAAAGCGAGUCUAGGCGGCUUGUUAAGUCAGAUGUGAAAAUGCGGGGCUCAACUCCGUAUUGCGUUUGAAACUGGCAGGCUAGAGUACUGGAGAGGUGGGCGGAACUACAAGUGUAGAGGUGAAAUUCGUAGAUAUUUGUGGGAAUGCCGAUAGUGAAGACAGCUCACUGGACAGAUACUGACGCUAAAGCUCGAAAGCGUGGGGAGCGAACAGGAUUAGAUACCCCUGUAGUCC